CCUACGGGAGGCAGCAGUGAGGAAUAUUGGUCAAUGGCCGGAAGGCUGAACCAGCCAAGCCGCGUGAAGGACGAAGGUGCCAAGCAUUGUAAACUUCUUUUGGCAAGGGACAAAAUCAGGCUCGAGAGCCUGACCGAGGGUACUUGAAGAAAAAGCAGCGGCUAACUCCGUGCCAGCAGCCGCGGUAAUACGGAGGAUGCGAGCGUUAUCCGGUUGUAUUGGGGUUAAAGGGUGCGUAGGCGGGCUGUUAAGUCAGCGGUAAAAGCCCGGGGCUCAACCCCGGCGAGCCGUUGAAACUGGGUGUCUUGAGAUGUCGAGAGGCAUGCGGAAUGCGCAGUGUAGCGGUGAAAUGCUUAGAUAUUGCGCAGAACUCCGAUUGCGAAGGCAGAAUACCGGCGGCGAUCUGACGCUGAGGCACGAAAGCGUGGGUAUCGAACAGGAUUAGAUACCCUUGUAGUC
This 459-nucleotide ribosomal RNA is filed under the name uncultured bacterium. RNAcentral describes it as "partial 16S ribosomal RNA". It matches the Rfam family "Bacterial small subunit ribosomal RNA", at positions 338 to 795 of the family's 1533-position model. The record is from RNAcentral.